This 253-nucleotide ribosomal RNA is filed under the name uncultured bacterium. Its description in RNAcentral is "partial 16S ribosomal RNA". It matches the Rfam family "Bacterial small subunit ribosomal RNA", at positions 524 to 776 of the family's 1533-position model. The record is from RNAcentral.
UACGGAGGGUGCAAGCGUUAUCCGGAUUCACUGGGUUUAAAGGGUGCGUAGGCGGCCCGGUAAGUCAGUGGUGAAAGCUCCCAGCUUAACUGGGAAACUGCCAUUGAAACUGCCAGGCUUGAAUACAGUUGAAGUAGGCGGAAUACAACAUGUAGCGGUGAAAUGCUUAGAUAUGUUGUAGAACACCGAUUGCGAAGGCAGCUUACUAAGCUGUGAUUGACGCUGAGGCACGAAAGCGUGGGGAGCGAACAGG